This 468-nucleotide ribosomal RNA is filed under the name uncultured bacterium. RNAcentral describes it as "partial 16S ribosomal RNA". It matches the Rfam family "Bacterial small subunit ribosomal RNA", at positions 28 to 507 of the family's 1533-position model. The record is from RNAcentral.
GACGAACGCUGGCGGCGUGCUUAACACAUGCAAGUCGAACGGAAAGGCCCUGCUUUUGUGGGGUGCUCGAGUGGCGAACGGGUGAGUAACACGUGAGUAACCUGCCCUUGACUUUGGGAUAACUUCAGGAAACUGGGGCUAAUACCGGGUAGGAGCUCCUGCUGCAUGGUGGGGGUUGGAAAGUUUCGGCGGUUGGGGAUGGACUCGCGGCUUAUCAGCUUGUUGGUGGGGUAGUGGCUUACCAAGGCUUUGACGGGUAGCCGGCCUGAGAGGGUGACCGGCCACAUUGGGACUGAGAUACGGCCCAGACUCCUACGUGAGGCAGCAGUGGGGAAUAUUGCACGAUGGGCGGAAGCCUGAUGCAGCAACGCCGCGUGCGGGAUGACGGCCUUCGGGUUGUAAACCGCUUUCGCCUGUGACGAAGCGUGAGUGACGGUAAUGGGUAAAGAAGCACCGGCUAACUACGUG